GAAAUGCGAUAAGUAAUGUGAAUUGCAGAUACAGUGAAUCAUCGAAUCUUUGAACGCUAAUGGCACUCUAUGGUAUUCCGUAGAGUACGUCUGUUUGAGCGUCGCGAACAUCUCCAUAAUUAGUUUUUUUAAAUUGAUUAAUGGUUUUCAGGUUGUCAUUGUAUUAUGACUUCCUUUAUAAUGAUUAGUGAUGACCUUAUGAAUGGGUUAAUACUGUGUGUUAUAAUGGAUGACAUCCAGCACCAGUCAGAGAGCAAUCUCGCCUUAGUAAUUUUUAUUGAUUGCUUCUAAUCGCCUUUUUGGCAACCUAAAUGAUCAAAUCGACCUCAAAUCAGAUGGGAUUACCCGCUGAACUUAA
This 358-nucleotide unclassified non-coding RNA is filed under the name uncultured Wallemia. Its description in RNAcentral is "sequence contains ITS1". The stretch from base 1 to 104 matches the Rfam family "5.8S ribosomal RNA", at positions 50 to 154 of the family's 154-position model. Lineage: Eukaryota; Fungi; Basidiomycota; Wallemiomycetes; Wallemiales; Wallemiaceae. The record is from RNAcentral.